CCAAUAGCGUAUAUUAAAGUUGUUGCAGUUAAAAAGCUCGUAGUUGAAUUUCGGGAUCAAGGAAUCGGUCAUGCUUAGGUAUGUACUGGUUUUAUUGGUUCUCACCUUCUAAAGAACCAUAAUGUCAUUCAUUUGAUGUUAUGGGGAAUUAGGACUGUUACCUUGAAAAAAUUAGAGUGUUUAAAGCAGGCUUACGCUUGAAUACAUUAGCAUGGAAUAAUGAAAUAGGACAUCAGAUUCUAUUUUGUUGGUUUCUAGGAUCGAUGUAAUGAUUAAUAGGGAUAGUUGGGGGCAUUAGUAUUCAAUUGUCAGAGGUGAAAUUCUUGGAUUUAUUGAAGACUAACUACUGCGGAAGCAUUUGCCAAGGAUGUUUUCAUUAAUCAAGAACGAAAGUUAGGGGAUCAAAGACGAUCAGAUACCGUCGUAGUCUUAACCAUAAACUAUGCCGACUAGGGAUCGGAUGAUGUUAAUUUUAUAAUGACUCAUUCGGCACCUUACG
Molecule: ribosomal RNA, 499 nt
Filed under: uncultured Glomeromycotina
Lineage: Eukaryota; Fungi; Glomeromycota
Description: partial small subunit ribosomal RNA
Rfam family: Eukaryotic small subunit ribosomal RNA
Source: RNAcentral